Molecule: ribosomal RNA, 253 nt
Filed under: uncultured bacterium
Lineage: Bacteria
Description: partial 16S ribosomal RNA
Rfam family: Bacterial small subunit ribosomal RNA
Source: RNAcentral
UACGUAGGGGGCAAGCGUUGUCCGGAUUUAUUGGGCGUAAAGAGCGUGUAGGCGGCCUGACAGGUCUGCUGUGAAAACUCGAGGCUCAACCUCGAGAUGUCGGCGGAAACCGUCUGGCUAGAGUCCGGAAGAGGAGAGUGGAAUUCCUGGUGUAGCGGUGAAAUGCGCAGAUAUCAGGAGGAACACCGGUGGCGAAGGCGGUUCUCUGGGCAUGUCCUGACGCUGAGGAGCGAAAGUGUGGGGAGCGAACAGG